RNAcentral lists this long non-coding RNA (5474 nucleotides) under Homo sapiens (human). Its description in RNAcentral is "HSALNT0183478". Lineage: Eukaryota; Metazoa; Chordata; Mammalia; Primates; Hominidae. The record is from RNAcentral.
CACAGAGGGCAGCCCCGCCUCUCUGAAUGUGGGGCUUAGGAGAGACUGCACGGGAAACCCUUCACUCUAUAAUCAUGGAGUGUUUGACCUUGAAGAGAUGGGGCAUCCACAGAUGUUACCUGGGUUUUGUAAAGACCCGAAACUCUUCCAGAAUAAUAUGGAGAUUUACUCAAAUUCUGGAGGCUUAUUUUUCCAAAUGAAUUCAUCUGGGACUGAAACGUCUCUUCUCCUCCAUCACUCCCUCUCCAUCUCCAAGGCUAAAUUCAAGCACUGGUCAUCAACAGCGACAUCAUAAGAACUCAGGAGUUGACCACCAUAGAAAACCAAGACUCUGAAGACAGCCAUUGCAGUUUGUCAAUUAAGAAGAACACAGAAGAUGGAGUCUGAACCCUGUGCCUGGGCUUUGCACAACCCAUCCCAAUAGCUGGGUCAACUUAACUAAGCCAUCUGACUCACCAAAAGCCAUCUGACUCACCUCCUGCAAAACCACAAUAUGGUUCAAGAAUUAGUCCUACCUCCAUUUACAAUAAACCACUCCUUUUUUUUUUUUUUUUGACAGAGUCUCACUCUGUCGCCCAGGCUAGAAUGCUGCUUCAGCCUCAACCUCCCAGGUUCAACAUCUCAGCCUCCUGAGGAGCUGGGACUACAGGCAUGUGCAACCAUGCCCAGGUAAUUUUUGUAAUUUUUGUAGAGACAGGGUUUCACCACGUUACUCAGGCUGGUCUCAAACUCCUGGGCUCAAGCCAUCAGCCCACCCUCACCUCCCAAAGUGCUAGGAUUACAGGCAUGAGCCACCGCACCCAGCCCACUCCCUACUCUUACCCUACUUCUUACUCUGUAGUUUUGGGAGACACACACACAACACGCUCAAUUCAUGGAUUCACGUCUUUGAAUCAUAAAACAACAGGCAGUAAAGUAUAGUAGCUAAAGGAGUGCCGGGAACACAGCCUGGGUUUGAACUCCGUCUCUGUCAUCUGCUAACUGUUGUCCUUGAGCAAGUUACUUAACUUCUCUGUGCCUCCGUCUCAUCGCCUAUAAAAGGAAAACAAUACUAUACUACCUAUAAGACUGUUGUGAAAAUUAAAUUAUAUAAUAUCAGUAUAACACUUGACAUAUGGAAAGUACCAAAAAUGCGUUAACUAGGCUGGACACUGUGACUCACACCUCUCUCUACUCCCAGCGCUUUGAGAGGUCGAGACAGGAGGAUUACUUGAGGCCCAGAGUUCAAGACCAGCCUGGACAGCAUAAUGAGACCCUGUCUCUAUAAAAAAUAAAAAUUAACCAGGCAUGGUGGCAUGUACCUGUAGUAUCAGCUACUUGGGAUGCUGAGGUGGGAGGAUUGCUUGAGCCCAGGAGUUGGAGGCUGUAGUGAGCUAUGAUCAUGCCAUUGCACUCUAGCCUGAGCAACAGAGUCUUAUACAGCCUGUCUCCAAAAAAAAAGAAAAUAAAUAAUUUUUAAAAUGUUAACUACUAUCACAUCUUUUAGAAUUUGAGAAACAAAAAGCACAAAAACUAAAACUGCACAUGAUACGUGAUUGCAGACCGAGGUGGUUCAUCUCUUCUUUAGUUAAAUUAAAGGCUUUUGGCUGGAUGUGGUGGUUCACACCUGUGAACCCCCCAGCACUUUGGGAGACCAAGGUGGGAGGAUUGCUUGAGCCCAGGAAUUUGAGACGAGCCUGAGCAACAUAGACAGACUCCCAACUCUACAAAAAUUUUAAAAGUUAGCCAGGCACAAUGGAGCAUGUCUGUGGUUCCAGCUACUUGGGAGGCUGAGGUGGGAGGAUCACUUGGGUCUGGGAGGUCGAGGCUGCAGUGAGCCAUGAUCAUGGCACUGCACUCCAGCCUGGGUGACAAAGGAAGACUGUCUCAAAAAAAAGGAACAGACCAAGUUAAAGGCUUUUCUUUUGUGCCAUUUUUCUGGCCUUGUGUAUGCCUUAGUUUUCAGCAGAGUAAAAUAUCUGUAUUAUUAUUAUGACCUUGAUUUUUAAGAUGACUUCAUCUUCAUUUCAUAUUGAUUUUAUUCAGUAAUAAUUGUAAGAAAGACUUUAGUUUUAAUGUUUCUUUCCCCUUAUCUUCUCCAUCAAGUAUGUGGAAAAAGACAAAUUCAAAGGCUAGAAAUGAAACUUUGAACUUCUACAGGAGAAGUCAGGCAACAUGGCUAAAGACCUUUGCUAAAUGACAAAGCAGGAUAAAAAAUAAGUCUAGUCCUUCUUACAUUAUUCCAAUACAUUUAUUAAAGGCAUCCUUAAAGGUAUGUAAGGAAUUAUAAAUGAAUGCAUGCUUCUCCCACACACAAAUUUCGUUAAUGACACACGUAUGAAACCGUACAUAAAUACGUGUGUACUGCUGACUGAGCGAGAUACCUAGCUAACUCUGAACACUCCCACAAAGCACCUCACAGUAAUCCCUGGUCGACUUUAUCAACCACACUGCUUAGAGACAGGACUGAACCCAUAGGCCUUCCCCUCCAGUAGGUCAGAACAAGUCUGCCGGUAACUGCAGCAUCUGUGUCUGCAGGAAUACCUCUUCCCUCUUUGGCUUAACUCCAGACCACGCGGUAGGAGCCAAGGAAGGGGACAUGCCCUAGCCUUGUACAUAGCUGUGCAGAUGGCCUGAGGACUUGAGGCUCAACUUUUCUGUCCAAUACAAGGACCCUGUUUCAAAUGGCAAAUCUGGCUGUCCCACCUAGGAUCUGUACCUUUUCUCAAGCCUUAGCUCCCCCUAAAUUACCAAGGAGUCUCAGACGAGUUGUUGAGGUUUUAACCAUUCAUUUAUUAAACAAGUCUUCACAGAGAGCUUACUAGGUUCCAGGCACUAGGUAUACUCUGCCGACCAAAACCAAACCAGGUCAGAGAAGAGAGACAUCAGGACUAUGCAGAGACAGCCCUGGGUAAAAUCAGGAAAAGCAAAAAAAACUUAGUUACCAUUAUUCAGCCCUCCCCAUGCCCCCACCUUCCUGUGGAUUGUGAAGAGCUCCCUCAAGCUUCUCUUUGCUCUUUGUUUCUUUCCUCUUCAGAACCUGAUUCCUGGGAAAAUAACUUAAUUGUUUAUUCAUUUACUCAACAAACACAUGUUGAGCACCUACUGCAUAUCAGAUACUGCAGUAGGUGAAAUAUCAGUCCCUUUAUAACUUCUCUUGGGGGUAUUUGCAUCUCAACUCUAUUUUAUUUUUUUCUAAUUCUUUUUAAAUUGAACUAGAAUUCAAUUUAUGCUUAACCCUUAAAUUUUACCAUAACAUAACAUUUACCCUUUUAAAGUGUAACAUUCAAUGGUUUUCACUGUAUUCACAAAGUUGUACAACCAUCCCCACUAUCUAAUUCUAGAAUAUUUUCGUCACUUCAAAAAAGAAGCCCUGUACCAUUAGCAGGGAUUUCCCAACUCCUGCUUCCCACAACCGCUGAAAACCAAGUAUUUACUCUGUCUCUAUGAAUUUACCUGUUCUGACCAUUUCAGAUAAGCGGAAUCGUAUAAUAUGUGACCUUUCGCGUCUGGCUUCCUUCAUUAGCACAUUUUCAAGGUUACCUAUGUUGUAGCAUGUAUCAGUACUUCAUCCUAUGUCAUGGCUGAAUAAUGUUUCAUUAUAUGGUUAUACUACAUUUUCUUUAUCCAUUCAUUAAUUUACAAACAUUUGGGUUUGUUUCACUUUGUGGCUAUUAUGAAUAAUGCUGCUAGGAACAUUUAUGUACACAUUUUUAUGUAGUCACUUGUCUUCAAUUAUCUUUGGUACAUACCUUGGAGUGGAAUUGCAGGUCAUAUGGUAACUGUAUAUUUCCCUUUUUAAGGAACUGCCAAGCUGUUCUCCAAAGUGACUGUACCUGUUUGCACCCCCACCAGGAAGAUAUGAGGGUUCCCAUUUCUCUACACCCUCAGUCACACUUAUGAUUGUCUGACUUUUUAGCUAUCCAAGUGGAACGAAGUGAUGUCUCACUGUGGCUUUGAUUUGCAUUUCCCUAAUAACUAAGGAUGUUGUGCAUCUUUUUUGUGCUUAUUGGCUAUUUGUGUGUCCAAUUUGAGUAAUGUCUAUUCAAAUCCUUUGCUCAUUUUUAAUUGAGCUACUUGCCUUUUUAUUAUUAAGUUGUAAGAGUUCUUUUUUUAUAUUUUGGAUACUAGAUCCUUAUCCAAUGUAAGAUUUGCAAAUAUAUGUUCCCAUUCUGUGGGCUCUCUUUUCACUUUUUUGAUAAUGUCUUUUGAAACAUGAAAGGUUGUAUUUUGAUGAGGUCCAAUUUUUGUCUUUACUUGCUUACGCUUUUGGUGCCAUAUCUAAGGAACAAUUGUCUAAUACAAGGUCACAAAAAUGCCUAUGUUUUCUCUAAGAAUUUUAUCAUUUUUGCUCUUACAUCUAGGCCUGUGAUCCCUUUUGAGUUAAUUUUUGUAUAAAGUAUAAGUUAUGGGUCCAAAUUCAUUCUUUCACGUGUGGAUAUCAGGUUGCCUCAGCACCAUUUGUUGAAAAGACUAUUCAUUCCCCAUUGAUUGUCUUAGCAUCCUUAUUGAAAAUCAACUGACCAUAAAUGUAAAAGUUUCUUUCUGGACUCUGAAGUCUAUUCCUUUGAUCUACAUAUCUAUUCUUAUGGCAGUAUCACACAGUCUUGAUCAAUGUACCCUUGUAGCAGGUUUUAAAAUUUAGAAGUGUCAAUCCUACACCUUUGUCCUUCUUUUUCCCUUGCAUUUCCAUAUGACUUUUAGGAACAGCUUGUUGAUUUCUGCAAAAGAGGAAAAGAAAAGGCAGCUAGAAUUUUGAUAGGGAUUGCAUUGAAUCUGUAGACCACUUUGGGGGGUAUUGCCGUCUUAGCAAUAUUAGGCUUUCCAAUUCAGGAAUACAAACUGUCUUUCCAUUUAUUUAGAGUAUUGUUUAAUUUCAACUAUUUUUUAUAGUUUUUAAUGUGCAAGACUUAAACUUAUUUUGUUAAAUUUAUUCCUAAGUAUUUUUUUUCUUCUUGUUGCUGUUGCAGAUGUAAUCGUUUUCUUAAUUUCAUUUUGGAUCAUUCAUUGCUAGUGUAUAAAAAUAUAAUGGAUUUUUAUAUUUUGAUCUUGCAUCUGGCAACCUUGCUGAACUCAAUUAUGAGUUUUAAUGGUUUGGGUAGAUACCUUAUGAUUAUCUGUAUACUAGAUCAUGUCAUCUGCAAGUAGAUUUAGUUUUACUUUUUUCUUUUUAGCAUGGAUACCUUUUUAAGUCUUAUUUCUUAUUGUUCAACUGCAACAUUUUACUCCUCUGUGAACUAAUUUCAAGCAUCAAGAAUGUGAGCUCCAUGAGAGCAGGAACUUUAUUUUGUUUCCUGUUCUAGGCCUGGUAUCUAGACUAGUUCCCAGCACAUAGCAAGUGUUCAAUAAAUAUGUGUUGAGUAAAUGAAUACAUGAGACAAGAAGUAGAUGGGAACAGUUCGGAGCUUUUCCCCAUACCCGCAAUCAUACCAGCAAGGUGUGGCUUAUUCUAACCCACUUAUAAUCCCUGCCCAGAGUCGGCAAUUAAUUGGCAC